This 776-nucleotide ribosomal RNA is filed under the name uncultured Vagococcus sp. Its description in RNAcentral is "bacterial SSU rRNA". It matches the Rfam family "Bacterial small subunit ribosomal RNA", at positions 28 to 776 of the family's 1533-position model. Lineage: Bacteria; Bacillati; Bacillota; Bacilli; Lactobacillales; Enterococcaceae. The record is from RNAcentral.
GACGAACGCUGGCGGCGUGCCUAAUACAUGCAAGUCGAACGCACGAAGUUGAAGAGCUUGCUCUUUAACCAAGUGAGUGGCGGACGGGUGAGUAACACGUGGGUAACCUGCCCAUUAGAGGGGGAUAACAUUCGGAAACGGAUGCUAAUACCGCAUAGUUUCAGGGAUCGCAUGAUUCUUGAAGGAAAGGUGGCUUCGGCUACCACUAAUGGAUGGACCCGCGGCGUAUUAGCUAGUUGGUGAGGUAAUGGCUCACCAAGGCAAUGAUACGUAGCCGACCUGAGAGGGUGAUCGGCCACACUGGGACUGAGACACGGCCCAGACUCCUACGGGAGGCAGCAGUAGGGAAUCUUCCGCAAUGGACGAAAGUCUGACGGAGCAACGCCGCGUGAGUGAAGAAGGUUUUCGGAUCGUAAAACUCUGUUGUUAAAGAAGAACAAGGAUGAGAGUAACUGCUCAUCCCCUGACGGUAUUUAACCAGAAAGCCACGGCUAACUACGUGCCAGCAGCCGCGGUAAUACGUAGGUGGCAAGCGUUGUCCGGAUUUAUUGGGCGUAAAGCGAGCGCAGGCGGUUCUUUAAGUCUGAUGUGAAAGCCCCCGGCUCAACCGGGGAGGGUCAUUUGGAAACUGGAGAACUUGAGUGCAGAAGAGGAGAGUGGGAAUUCCACGUGUAGCGGUGAAAUGCGUAGAUAUGUGGAGGAAUCACCAGUGGCGAAGGCGACUCUCUGUGUCUGUAACUGACGCUGAGGCUCGAAAGCGUGGGGGAGCAAACAGG